Molecule: ribosomal RNA, 491 nt
Filed under: uncultured bacterium
Lineage: Bacteria
Description: partial 16S ribosomal RNA
Rfam family: Bacterial small subunit ribosomal RNA
Source: RNAcentral
GAUGAACGCUAGCUACAGGCUUAACACAUGCAAGUCGAGGGGAAACGACAUCGAAAGCUUGCUUUUGAUGGGCGUCGACCGGCGCACGGGUGAGUAACGCGUAUCCAACCUGCCCACCACUUGGGGAUAACCUUGCGAAAGUAAGACUAAUACCAAUGAUAUCCCACGAAGACAUCUGAAUGGGAUUAAAGAUUUAUCGGUGAUGGAUGGGGAUGCGUCUGAUUAGCUUGUUGGCGGGGUAACGGCCCACCAAGGCAACGAUCAGUAGGGGUUCUGAGAGGAAGGUCCCCCACAUUGGAACUGAGACACGGUCCAAACUCCUACGGGAGGCAGCAGUGAGGAAUAUUGGUCAAUGGGCGAGAGCCUGAACCAGCCAAGUAGCGUGCAGGAAGACGGCCCUAUGGGUUGUAAACUGCUUUUAUAAGGGAAUAAAGUGGGUCACGUGUGACUUUUUGCAUGUACCUUAUGAAUAAGGACCGGCUAAUUCCGUG